Long non-coding RNA from Papaver somniferum (opium poppy), 2272 nucleotides. RefSeq lists it as uncharacterized. NCBI's taxonomy places the organism in Eukaryota, Viridiplantae, Streptophyta, Magnoliopsida, Ranunculales, Papaveraceae. The transcript has 14 exons. The record is from RefSeq and is a predicted model, not a curated record.
CCGCGGAUGAUUGGGCCGGUCACGGUUUGAUUUUUCAAAUCCGCAGCUGUGACGGUUUGGUUGCGGGUGACCCCUAAUCCGCAACCGUACCGGUGAGAAUUAGAGGCAGACGAAACCGAGGAAAUCCAUCUCUUCUCUAUGCUACACAUGUGAAACUUAAGUUAUCAAAAUAGGAAUCAUCUAUUUUGAGGCCUUUAAAGAGUGAUGUUUGGAGACGGAUACAUGUCAAAGAACUUGUGGUGUUUGUAAAAAUGACUAAAUGAAGAAAUACAAGCGCACUUUGUUGAAUAGGAAAGUUCAUAUAGCUGGAAAUAAUUAAGCAUUUAUUUCCCAACUGCCACAGAUUGGUGGUACCGCUAGUAAUGGAGCUCGGCAAGAGGAACUAGUGAGUUUCUCAGCACCUUGGGGUUAAAGCAUGGGAGUGAAGAAAGAACCUUUGUCAGAGGCAUUUGUAGCUCGCAUGCUAGCAAAGCUAUGAACGUGCAAGCACGUUUAAGCUUCUUCGAAGAUGGAGAAUUAGAGGCAGAAGAAGUGGAGAAGAUCUGCUGAGGUGAUUCUGAAAGAAUCACAGACAUGGCUACACAUGUGAGACUCCUGUAUCAAAUAGGCAGAUAUUUCGACUCAGGAAUGUAGCCGGUGCUGCUAAUGGUGGAUUAUAGUAGAAAAGUUGCCAGAACUACAAGAAUGUUUUUCUUCCGUCUUUCAAUCCAGUCAAAAGGAAUUAUCUGUUUUGAGGCCUUUAAAGAGUGAUGUUUGUUGAUGAUGAUAUAGUUGAUACAUGGCAAAGAACUUGUCGACUAUGUAAAAUUAAGCCUUAAUUCAGAAAUGCAAGCGCACUUUGUUUACCACAGGAAAGAUGGAUCCGUAGUUAUCCGGCAUUGUACUUGUUUGGCAAGGAGCAUGUAUCUGAUUUGGUUCCUAAACAGUUCAUAAGGCUGGAACUAAGUAAGCAUUAGAUUCCCAACUGCAACAGAAUUGGCCGUACUACUAGUGGUGGAGCUCGACAAGAGGAACUAAUGAGAAUUAGAGGCAGAAGAAAUGGAGAAGACCUGCUGAGGUGAUUCUGAGGGAUUUGCAGACAUGGCUACCCAUGUGAGACUCUGUACCAGAUAGGCAGAUAUCUUGGCUCAGGAAUGUUGCAGGUGCUUCUAAUGGUGGAUUAUAGUGGUAAAAGUGCCAGAACUACAGAAAUGUUUUUCUUCUGUCUUAGAAUUCAGUCAAAAGGUGCAAUUUUUGGAAUGGAAUCGUCUGUUUUUAGGCCUUUAAAGAGUGAUGUAUGUUGACGAUGAUUUAUUUGAUACAUGUCAAAGAACUUGUCAACUAUGUAAAAAUUAAGCCAAAUUCAAGCGCACUUUGCUGAACAGGAAAGAUGAUAUCUCAAUGUGAAACAAAAAAAAUUGAAUCCUAAAAGAACUUUUAUUAAAUUAAAGAUUAUUUUUGCCGGUAUUUUCUGCUGAUGGAAUGGACCAAGGGCUCUUCCUCUGUCCUAGGAUGAUGUGGCUAGCAAUAAAAUGUUGGUUGUAACAAAACGCAUAAUCACAAUCCACAAACUUGAAUCAGAAUUGCACAGAUGUAAUAGACAAGAUGGAGGGGAGAAUGAACCUUUGGUAAAGGCAUUUCUAACUCGCACGCUGGCGAAGUUAGAAAAGUGCAAGCACGCUUAAGCUUCUUUGAAGAUGGAGGUCAGUUAAUGUAAAAUUGUAAACCCGAUAGCAAUUGUACUGUAGUGGUAGUAGUUAGUAAUCUUUGUUAUGAGUAGAAGCAUAAAAUCCAAGAACUGCUUAUGCUUCAAGAAAAAUAAUCAGUAUAAUUGAGUUGUUGAUGAUCUCAUUAUGUUCUGUAAGUCACGCCUAUACUUAUAUAUCAUAAAUUAGUUCAUAUCUGAGAAACUGAAAAUGAUGGCUCGGUUUGUUUAAUACAACUUGUUUUAAAAAUAAAUCAUGAUAUUUUUCUUGCUUGAUUGAUCAUGAGAUCCUGAAAGGUUUUACUGAUGUAGUGAUUUUCUAAGGUUCACCAAGUUUUUUCAGAAUAUCUUCCCAUGUGCUGAUAUUGAGCUGUCCUGGAGUUGCAUUUUUAUAUGUCCCUGUUAUACCUUUCUAAAUUCAGCUGAUUCAAUUUUCUGAUCCAAUUGUUUUCUUUAAAAGUGACAGUGAAUGUUCUUUAUCUUUAAACAAGUUCAUUCAUUAUGUUUUCUUUAAACAAGUUCAUUCAUUUAUUCCUAACAUUUGAUGCAUACAAACACUUGCACAAUUCACUAACAGAAGAAAAGAGU